Molecule: long non-coding RNA, 392 nt
Filed under: Phaseolus vulgaris (common bean)
Lineage: Eukaryota; Viridiplantae; Streptophyta; Magnoliopsida; Fabales; Fabaceae
Description: long non-coding RNA (PVUL_LNC002408)
Source: RNAcentral
CGCACCCUCUCUUUCACAUUAUCUUCUCUGCCUCAACCCUAUUGAUGUUCCUUUUCUUUGAAUCGAUGUAGUUCGCGCCAAACAACUCUCAAGGUACGCUUUCUUGUUCAGAACCUCUAAUCUAUGAUAAUCGCUUCCUUCUUCGAAACCUUCACUCCAUGUAAAUUCACUGUUCCUCACUUCAAAAUUUUACUCUGUUAAGUUACUGUUCCUUAUUACAAUGUUUAAGGCGAAAUUUGUUUUGUAUGCAAUGUUCGCGUCGAUUAUUGUGUGCAUGUUUUUGGAUGAAGUGAUUGAACAUUACUAUUUAUUUAGGCCAUGAAAUUGUUUGAAGACAAUUUUCUGUUGCCAGUUUUUGAGUUAAGAGUUGUUUUCGUUGCUAAUAGGAAUCA